This 459-nucleotide ribosomal RNA is filed under the name uncultured bacterium. Its description in RNAcentral is "partial 16S ribosomal RNA". It matches the Rfam family "Bacterial small subunit ribosomal RNA", at positions 29 to 523 of the family's 1533-position model. The record is from RNAcentral.
AACGAACGCUGGUGGCAGGCUUAACACAUGCAAGUCGAACGCGAAAUCACCUUCGAGUGGUGGAGAGUGGCAGACGGGUGAGUAACGCGUGGGAACCUACCUAGUGGUACGGAAUAACUCAGGGAAACUUGGGCUAAUACCGUAUGUGCCCGAAAGGGGAAAGAUUCAUCGCCACUAGAUGGGCCCGCGUCGGAUUAGCUUGUUGGUGAGGUAACGGCUCACCAAGGCGACGAUCCGUAGCUGGUCUGAGAGGAUGAUCAGCCACACUGGGACUGAGACACGGCCCAGACUCCUACGGGAGGCAGCAGUGGGGAAUAUUGGACAAUGGGCGCAAGCCUGAUCCAGCCAUGCCGCGUGAGUGAUGAAGGCCCUAGGGUUGUAAAGCUCUUUCGGCGGGGACGAUAAUGACGGUACCCGCAGAAGAAGCCCCGGCUAACUUCGUGCCAGCCGCCGCAGUAA